UACGAAGGGGGCUAGCGUUGUUCGGAAUUACUGGGCGUAAAGAGUACGUAGGUGGUUUAUUAAGCUAGAUGUGAAAUCCCUGAGCUUAACUCAGGAACUGCAUUUAGAACUGGUAGGCUAGAGAGUGUUAGAGGUUGGAAGAAUUCCUAGUGUAGGGGUGAAAUCCGUAGAUAUUAGGAGGAAUACCGAUGGCGAAGGCAGCCAACUGGGACAUUUCUGACGCUGAGGUACGAAAGCGUGGGUAGCAAACAGG
Molecule: ribosomal RNA, 253 nt
Filed under: uncultured bacterium
Lineage: Bacteria
Description: partial 16S ribosomal RNA
Rfam family: Bacterial small subunit ribosomal RNA
Source: RNAcentral